GUUAUAGGAUCAAGCGACUAAGUGCAUAUGGUGGAUGCCUUGGCGAUCACAGGCGAUGAAGGACGUAGUAGCCUGCGAAAAGCUACGGGGAGCUGGCAAACAAGCUUUGAUCCGUAGAUGUCCGAAUGGGGAAACCCACUCCGUAAGGAGUAUCCCUGGCUGAAUACAUAGGCCAGUGGAAGCGAACCGGGUGAACUGAAACAUCUCAGUAGCUCGAGGAAAAGAAAUCAACCGAGAUUCCGAAAGUAGUGGCG
This 254-nucleotide ribosomal RNA is filed under the name Achromobacter xylosoxidans. RNAcentral describes it as "partial 23S ribosomal RNA". It matches the Rfam family "Bacterial large subunit ribosomal RNA", at positions 1 to 251 of the family's 2925-position model. Lineage: Bacteria; Pseudomonadati; Pseudomonadota; Betaproteobacteria; Burkholderiales; Alcaligenaceae. The record is from RNAcentral.